UUACUGUACAAAAUUUCAGACAAUUUGGUUUAGUUUAAGCCGUUUAACUAUUCAUUUUAUUCUAAAAAAUCAGCCUUUCGCAUGCUUAAUUAAUGCAUUUACCUAAUUUGCAUAUUGCUAACAUAUGCAAAUUAGGCAAAUGCAUUAAUUAAGCAUGCAAAUAGCUGAUUCUCGGGAAAAAUGUAACUUUGCGUGAAUAGUUAAAUGGCUUAAACUAAACCAAAUUGUGUGAAAUUUUGUACAGUAAUUAAAAACCCGACAAAGUUUCCAUCUAUUAACUCAAAAUAUGAUUACAGCUUUUAAAGUUUGUGCGCAAGCCAUUUUUAUUUUGUUGGAAAAGACACACCCCCCUGGUUCACAAUAUUUGAGUUCAAGAAAUUUUUUUCAUUAUUCUAUAUUUUAAGUACCCAAAGAAGCUAUAUCUAUAAAAAACCGGAUACAAAUCGGUGUUUUGCGAAAUUGAGAGUAAUUUCAAAUCUGUUCAGUUUUUUUUUAUACACCCUGUAUAUAUAUUUCAAUAAAGGUUGUCCUUUGCAAACCUUAAACUUUAAAACCUUAAACCUUAAAUUCUAAGCGCGCAAAGCGUAUUGGGAGCACGAUUUAAGCAGUUUAGAAAGCAUAUACGGAGCCCAUUUCUCAGAGACAUGGUAAACAUCUCCCUGCGAAAACAUUUCACUCACAAACAACUGCAAUAUACAACUGCUAAGCUUGAAAUUUGUGCUCCCAUUAUGCUUUGCGCGCUUAGAGUUUAAGGUUUAAGGUUUACAGUUUAAGGUUUGCAAAGGACAACCUUUUUUGAAUUAGCUGUAUAUAUAUAUAUAGUAUUAGCUAUAUAUAUAUAUAUAGUGUGUGAUAGUGUGUUUGUAUUAGUUAAGUAUUAGUGUGUAUAAUAGGUUUUUAAUAUUGUAUUCAAACGGCCCCUUGAAAAUCAGUUUCUUUGUGCUGAAGGGCUACCGUUUUUAAACAAGUUUAAAUAAUAAUAUCAUAUAACCUGCAUGGGUCCUACGGUCUGUUAGUAGUUCAGUCCAAGCUGCAACCUUGUGCAAGGUUGUUUGUAGUUGUCUUGUUAAAAUACAAUAAAAAUAGAUCGAAAGUGAGAGCAUGAUAAACUGAACCUUUUUCUCAAUGUUUCAAUAGAAAACGCGCAUGAGCAGAGCAACUUUGAUCUCCACUUUAAAGUUUCUUUUAAUUUCCAUGCAUCUUACAUCACAGUUUUGUAGUGUAUAUAGUGUAUAUAGAACAUAUGCAGUAAAUGUCGUUCUUUACAUUCAUACUGUUGUUCAUAGAUGUAAUUAAAAUUGUUGUAUGUCCUAACGUUUAUGUAUAUAAUAUGUAUUCUUGUAAUACCUAUAAGUAAUUAUGUAAUGUAAGCUUUUGGUGGGACUUAAUUAGGGACUCACGUCCUGUUGUCCUUACCAUCAGUCAUUUGAUUGUAAAGUUAAUAAAAAAAAUAGAAAUAGUAGAUAUAGCAGCUGAUAUUUAGGACUCUUAAUAGUUACUAGUAGUGGCUAAUGUCUUGUGGAGACCAGUCAGUGCUGUUAAUAAUGAAACUAAUAUUUGCUCUUUAGCACACGAGCAAUUCCAUUAUAAUGUUAGAGAUAUUCUUUAAUUUUGUAAAAUUACAUUUUUGUAUUAAUGUUGAUUGCAAAAAUAAAUUUAUUAUAUAAGUG
Molecule: long non-coding RNA, 1670 nt
Filed under: Paramuricea clavata
Lineage: Eukaryota; Metazoa; Cnidaria; Anthozoa; Malacalcyonacea; Plexauridae
Source: RNAcentral